UCAAAGCCUAAAAGGACAGAAAAGUCACCGAUCAAGUCAAAAGAGAGACAUAUACUCCAUUUUCUCUGGAUUUGACUUGAGGGGGGGUCUUUACAUGAAAGACUGCACGUUGAGCUGCAAAUGGGCCCAGCUUCUGGAAAGGGGGCCCUCACACGUAGGGCCUAGAGAAGUGGGGUUGUUAGCAGCAGAAGGGGAAAAGCAACUCUGGAGAUUUGAUCACAAACAAGUAACACCCUCUUUUCCUUCCUUCAGGCUCUUCCGGUCCCUCUGCUGCCUGAGGCCAGGGAAGGAAGAGGUACCUAAUAGGACAGCCACACCUUGGGAAGCUGAGAAUUUGGUGACUAAGAACCAGAUACAGUGAGACCAGUGGAAUUGCCAGAGUUGUGCCCAGAGAGCUCACUGUGAACUGGAUCCGCUUCAUGGAAUACUGGGGAGGAGACGGCGCAAAGACCAAUAUGAGAAGGUACAUGAACCCAGGAUUCACAUUCAUCCACUGCUGUGCACAGAAGCCCCGUUGGUCCCCUUUUCUGCCUGAGCCAAUGGAGUCAUUGUCGUCUUCCUUUUCAGAGGAUUACUUAGGAGUCCUAGUGUGUUUGAAACCAGAAGGAACCUUCGAAACCAUCACCUGAUGGAUGAGAUAGCUGGUGCACAGAGAAUACCUACUGUGAAAUGUGGAACACAGUCAAGCUGUAUUAGAUAUCUGAUACAUCUCAGCAAAUAAAGAGGAUAAAAGAAGAAGCCAGAUCUUGAAGUCAUCUC
Molecule: long non-coding RNA, 759 nt
Organism: Panthera uncia (snow leopard)
Lineage: Eukaryota; Metazoa; Chordata; Mammalia; Carnivora; Felidae
Exons: 4
Source: RefSeq, a predicted model, not a curated record